Long non-coding RNA from Populus trichocarpa (black cottonwood), 2623 nucleotides. RefSeq lists it as uncharacterized. The record is from RefSeq and is a predicted model, not a curated record. The transcript is spliced from 4 exons. Lineage: Eukaryota; Viridiplantae; Streptophyta; Magnoliopsida; Malpighiales; Salicaceae.
GGUCUGAUUGUCUCAUUGCUUGUGGGCAUGCAGGGACAGAAUUAUAAGACAACCCAUAUCGGGGCAAAACGAAAUAACCCGUGAGCAAGUGCCUAUAAAAAUGGAGCAGACAGGAAGGUUAGAGCACGCAGCCGCGCGGUGAGCACAAAGCGAACUAUUCUUUCGCCUUUUACUAAAGAAUACCGUGUGCGCGCCGCAAUCAGCGGCAUACGCUUAUUUUUGGAGGGUUCUUUCCCUUGUGGGAAGUACCCUAACUGGACAGUUUAAAGUUCUGCUUCUCUUAAAUUAAUUUAAUUAUAGUGGAAGCGUGGUAACAUGUAUUUGUCUUCGACUCUAGAUGAAUUUCCAAAUUGUGUAGUUGUAUCGUGCUGUGAACACUCCCUUCAAAUCCUUUGCUUAUUCACUAGACCUCAGCUUCUUCAGUGCUGGAAGGCAUAAAACUCAACUCGAGACUUAUUAAGUGAUCUAUCUAUGUUGAUUCCAUCAUGAUAACAAGUUGUUGCUUUUAGAUUCCGUCUUUUUUACAAAUAGAGUAGAAAGCCUUGAAAUCUCACUUGACAAAAAAGGAGAGCAGUGAUCUACAAGUAUUUUUUCAGUCCUUGAACCUUAGCUCUGCAACUGCAUAUCAGUAUCUGACGUAAUAAGCAACAUGUGGUAUGCCAUUACUUUGUGUCUGAACAAGUUCUAUGUCAUUGUAAUCUGCUGUCAGACAUUGCUUGGUACUGUCAAAUACGUAUAGGGACAGAUUAUAAGACAACCCAUAUCGGAGCAAAACGAAAUAACCCGUGAGCAAGUGCCUAUAAAGAUGGAGCAGACAGGAAGGUUAGAGCACGCAGCCGCGCGGUGAGCACAAAGCGAACUAUUCUUUCGCCUUUUACUAAAGAAUACCGUGUGCGCGCCGCAAUCAGCGGCAUACGCUUAUUUUUGGAGGGUUCUUUUCCUUGUGGGAAGUACCCUAGCUGAACAGUUUAAAGUGUUACUUCCCUUAAAUAAAUUAUCGUAGAAAUAUUGUCUCGUUAAUUGCCCUAAAUUCUUGUGUUUUUAUCCAAGUUGGGAGGGUGUUCAAAAUUUUUGGGUCCUUAACUCCUCGUCCUAUCGACACUGGCCUAUGCGGAGUCGCCGGACCUCAGCUUUUAAAGUGCUGAAGGGGAUAAAACUCAACUCAAGACUCAAUAGUAAGUGAUCAAGCUAUGCUGAUUCCAUCCCCCAUGAUAACAAGUUCUUGCUUUUAGGGGAUAAAACUCAACUCAAGACUCAAUACUAUCAGAGGAGAAGCCUUGAAAUCUCACUUAAUAAAAAAGGAGAGCAGUGAUGUACAAGUAUUUUUUCAGUCCUUAAUCCUUAGCUAUGCUACUGCAUCAGUAUCUGACGUAAUAAGCAACAUGUGGUAUGCCAUUAUUUUGUGUCUGAACAAGUUUUAUGGCAUUGUAUGAUUCUUUCCAUUGAGUGAUUCUCCCUUCACUUUCUUGUUUAGAAAUCUAGCACUCAGCAAGACAGACUGAGCUUAGGCACGUCUCGAAGGAGAACAGAAGAAGGGAUGCUUUUCAUUCUUUAUUUUAUUAUAGCCCUGUCCAAAAGGCUUACUAGAAAUUGAAUAAAGAAAGAGGACGGUAGCUAGGAAUUAGUGCAUUGAUACCGAGAAGAAAUUCACUCAGCUGUGAAUUCUGCCUUCCAUGAAAAGCCUAAAUGCUUCUUCUCCCCGCUCUUUCUGCUAAUAGGCUUGAAGUAAGUAAAUAAACGAGCAAGACCAAUCCAGCCUUAUCGCAGUCCAUAUCCUCCAUAUCAUUACACGCUUCCUUAUCCACCAGGGUUCCAAAUCCCACCAUUUCUAUGUUUGUGGGGCCCUAAAAGACACUUAUCUCAUUUCAUUACCGCUUGUCGGGACACCGCCACAAAUGGGUCUUUGCUAUUGAGACAAUUUCCCCUUUCCCUCGACGGUCCUGCCUACGAGUGGUAUGACAUCUCAGGCCCGGGUCCAUGCUGGAAACAAAUGCAAAGGGCUUAGGCAAACACUCGGGUCAUUUCUGAUAGUUUAUUGUUCUUCUUUUCUUUUUUUUCCUUUUGUUCCAAGUCAGAUUAUCAUCAAUUGUCACGAGAUUGCGAGAACGAUGCAUUGAUCAAGGUCUCGAUACAAAGCAUCGGAGGAAGCUGCCCAAAUUCUCUCACCAAAUCAACCUUUGAAGUUCAUUUUUGGGAACAGAUACUAGGGAUGGAAAUGCUAUACAACCUUCACUAAUUCUGGAUUUUGAUUCUCUACCAUACAAUCAAUCAGUUUUGUAGGCAUCAACAUAUCUCUACUCGGUAUUAAAUAUAACUCAUUGGACUAGAGAAAAUACGUGUGCAGGUGCAUUGGGAAUGCAGUGAAGCGUUGUACGCUCAACUUUACAAUCCCAAACAGAGAAAAAGACAACGUUUAAGCAAGGAAUGUGUCUAUAAAUAAGAAGCUCGAAGCAACAUGCUCCAUACUUACCUGGACGGGGUCGAUGGGCGAUCAAGAAGGUCCAUGGCCUAGGUCAGUGACGUCCAUUGCACUGAGGAUGGGUGCUGGCUUAAGGUCUCCCCAAGUGGGAGAUCCUACGUCAAAAUUUGUGGCAGAGGGGGCUGCGCAAGUCGCGGCCCCUGU